RNAcentral lists this ribosomal RNA (253 nucleotides) under uncultured bacterium. RNAcentral's name for it is "partial 16S ribosomal RNA". It matches the Rfam family "Bacterial small subunit ribosomal RNA", at positions 524 to 776 of the family's 1533-position model. The record is from RNAcentral.
UACGGAGGGUGCAAGCGUUAUCCGGAUUCACUGGGUUUAAAGGGUGUGUAGGCGGGCAAUUAAGUCAGCGGUGAAAUCUCCGGGCUCAACCCGGAAACUGCCAUUGAUACUAUUUGUCUUGAAUAUCGUUGAGGUAGGCGGAAUAUAUCAUGUAGCGGUGAAAUGCUUAGAUAUGAUAUAGAACACCGAUUGCGAAGGCAGCUUACUAAACGAUUAUUGACGCUGAGGCACGAAAGCGUGGGGAUCAAACAGG